Long non-coding RNA from Clupea harengus (Atlantic herring), 1066 nucleotides. The record is from Ensembl. NCBI's taxonomy places the organism in Eukaryota, Metazoa, Chordata, Actinopteri, Clupeiformes, Clupeidae.
GUGAGGACCGUGAGGAUGUUGGGGCAGUCAGGUGAGCUGGGUGAGGGCCGUGAGGAUGUUGGGGCAUAGGCUGCCAGGUCAGCUGGUUUAUUUUGAUGUCUCAGGGAUCAGUGGAGUACUCGACUGCUGGAGCCACAAGGACUUGAUUGUGUUUAAACCAACUGAGCUGCUCCCACGAGAACAGCUGCCACCGACACUUGCUCCUGUGUGUGUGUGUGUGUGUGUGUGCGCAUGCGUGUGUUUGUCUGUCUGUCUGUGUGUGUGCAUGUGUGUGUCUGUCUGUCUGUCUGUCUGUCUGUGUGUGUGUGUGUGUGUGUCUGCGUGCGUGUCUGUGUGUGUGUGUGUCUGCGUGCGUGUGUGUCUGUCUGUGUGUGUGUGUCAGCGUGCGUGUGUGUGUGUGUGUGUGUGUCUGCGUGCGUGUCUGUGUGUGUGUGCGUGCGUGUCUGUGUGUGUGUGUGUCUGCGUGCGUGUCUGUGUUUGUAUGUAUCUAUUACAUACAGUCCAUCAGCGCAAGUGUUGACUAUGUCAGGGCGUGCCGGUAUGGAUUUACAGACUGCUGGUCAGAAAAAGAAAUGUUAUUUAUAGUAUAGGACCAUGGCAGGUGACUAGAGCAGAGCUGCCCGCACUUACCUUGUCAUAACCACAUGAAUUACAUGUGACGAUUACAGAGAACAUCCCAGGUUCUCUCUCGGGGGAAACACCACUGGCGUUCCCAUAGAACGUUCUAGUCAAUCUCUACGGGUGUCACUUUAAAGAGUUGAUUUGGCCAGGUGUUACUCAGCUAGGUGUUGCUGCAGUCGCUGUAAGGCCCGUGGGUCGCCUGCCUGUCUGGAUCUGCCCUAUUUGCCCAGUUUGUGUUGUGCUUCUGGGUCCGGGGCGGGGCGGGGGGGGGGGGUGCCUGGGUCUGCGGAUGCCCUGGACAGGCUUGAAGAGGGAGGGAGUGUGUGUGUUUGUGAAUGGCAUGGACUGCUCAGAAGGCAAUAAAGAUUACCACAUUCCACUUCGCUGUGCCCGUGUGAUGUUUUGUGUCUUGAGUUUUAUAGCAGUUUUUUCCCCAAGAGGUGAA